GUGUUACUGCCUUUGUACUGCUCUGUGUAGCUGGUGUUAGAGGGAGAAUGGAAAGUGGAACAGAAGUGUGCACGUUUCCUCUCCACUGGCACUGCAGUAUCAUUACAUGCAAUGACUGCUGCUCAGGUGUGCACUGUCUUUAGCAGAAAGGGGCAAGCAAGCUCUGCCUCUAUUCUGAGCCACCCAAAAGCUAUGUAACUGUGUUAGCACAGAGUUGCACCCAAGCUCAUUUAUCCUGUCUCUCAGCAGGAUUUAAAGCCCAGGCUUUGCAUUAUCAAGAAAUUCAUGACUUUUGUCUCAGAGCAUUGGCAAAAGCUCAUGUUUGUCUGCAAAAUACCAUGUAAAUAACCCUUUAGAAUUAGUAGCUGCAAGUGCAGUCAGUGAUCUGUGUUAUCAGGUAAAACUCUUGCUUACUUGUAACGGUAAGCUUAUUUUUUGAAAACUGGGACCUGUUCUGUGGUGAUUAAAAAUAUCUAACUUCCUCAGAGAAAAAUGUUGGUACUCAGUUAUAAAAGUCUUGCUUGAAUACAUUUUAUGCGAUCUGUUCUUUAAUUUGCUUUCUUUUUAUAAACUGUCUAUAACCUGGUAUGUCCUCAAUUUGUCUGAAAGAUCUCUUUGAGUCCAAAGUGGCAGAAACUCCAAUCCAGCAUUUCCAGAGGAGCCCUUCCGUGACAUCUAGCGCUUUGGGUCCUUUCAGGCGCCAAAGUUUCUUUGACCAAGUAGAUCGAUCACUAAAGACAGACAGCCUGACCAUCAAAUCAGCUCUACGUGUGCAGAGACCACACAGUACCUCCAAUGUGCAGGCUAAGAGAUUCACAAAUCUUCUACAUCUUGUAAAAGAAAAGGCCAUUACAGAUUUGCUCAGGAGCAGAAUACAGUCACGGCAGGAAACGUGGGAACAAGAAUCACAGGAGCAGGACAGGCAGCAAAAGCAGCACCAGGCUGCCAAAAGGAGAGUGUUCCAGAACAGAGACCGUUCCCAUCAGAAGAUGGAAGAGAAAGGCCAGAAACACUGUGACCUCCAGCAGUACCUCAGAGACCAGAAUCUUUUGAUGCUCCGGACCUCACUACUAGAGUGAAGAAGCUGCAGUGUGGACUUGCUAGCUGAACUUCUUUUUAAAGACUUUUAGACAAGUAAACCUGCUUUCUUCACCAGGCUGCAGUGAUCUUGUGCACCUAAAGUAUCUGAUACCAUCAGUUAAAAAACUACCAGAGUAUAUUAUCUCAUAGAACCAUGCAAUCAUAAGGGAGGCAGAACUCUCCAUCUCUGCAAAAUCUUCCUGGCUUCUGAAAUAGACCUUCCUCAUAUAAGUAAAGGCUGAGAGAGCUAGGACUGCUCCACCUGGAGAAAAGACGACUGAGAGGGGAUCUUAACAAUGCAUUUAAGUAUCUAAAGGGAGGGUGUAAAGAGAAUGGGGCCAGACUCUUUUCACUGGUGCCCAGUGACAGCAUAAGAGGCAACAGGCACAAACUGAAACAGGAAGUUCCAUCUGAAUAUGAGGAAAAACUUUUUUGCUGAGAGGGUGGUCAAAACCUGGAACAGGUAGCCCAGAGAGAUUGUGGAGUCUCCAUCCUUGCAGACAUUCAUAAGCCGUCUAGAUAGGGUCCUGGGCAACCUGCUCUAGGUUGAGCAGGGGGGUUGGACUAGAUGUUCUUUAAAAGGUCCCUUCCACCCUCAACCGUUCUGUGUGCAAUUCUGUGAUCACCCUGUUUGCUGCUUGGAUGAUAUGACUGAAAGCAACAUUAAUGUGGAAUAUCCAAUGCAUGGCAUUUUGAGAGGCAUGUGACUGUUCUCACCUUCAGCUUCUUUCUCCAUCAGCUCACAGAGAGCAAAGGUAACCCUGCACAGUGAG
RNAcentral lists this long non-coding RNA (1853 nucleotides) under Apteryx rowi (Okarito brown kiwi). RNAcentral describes it as "lncRNA (ENSARWG00000005859.1)". Lineage: Eukaryota; Metazoa; Chordata; Aves; Apterygiformes; Apterygidae. The record is from RNAcentral.